AGGACGAACGCUAGCGGCGUGUCUGAAACAUGCAAGUCGAGCGGGAGUAGCAAUACUCCAGCGGCGAACGGGUGCGUAACACGUAAAGAACCUACCCUUUAGCGGGGGAUAGCCUCGGGAAACUGGGGGUAAUACCGCAUACGCUAUAGUUAUCGCAUGAUGAUUAUAGGAAAGGCUUCGGUCACUAAAGGAGGGCUUUGCGGCCUAUCAGGUAGUUGGUGAGGUAACGGCUCACCAAGCCAUAGACGGGUAGCUGGU
RNAcentral lists this ribosomal RNA (258 nucleotides) under uncultured bacterium. RNAcentral's name for it is "partial small subunit ribosomal RNA". It matches the Rfam family "Bacterial small subunit ribosomal RNA", at positions 26 to 291 of the family's 1533-position model. The record is from RNAcentral.